This 440-nucleotide ribosomal RNA is filed under the name uncultured bacterium. Its description in RNAcentral is "partial 16S ribosomal RNA". It matches the Rfam family "Bacterial small subunit ribosomal RNA", at positions 338 to 795 of the family's 1533-position model. The record is from RNAcentral.
CCUACGGGUGGCAGCAGUGGGGGAUAUUGCACAAUGGGGGAAACCCUGAUGCAGCGACGCCGCGUGUGGGAAGACGGUCCUCUGGAUUGUAAACCACUGUCCCCAGGGACGAAGAUGACGGUACCUGGGGCGGAAGCUCCGGCUAACUACGUGCCAGCAGCCGCGGUAAUACGUAGGGAGCGAGCGUUGUCAGGAAUUACUGGGUGUAAAGGGAGCGUAGGCGGGACUGCAUGUUGGGUGUCAAAUCUACCAGCUCAACCGGUAGCCGCACUCAAAACUGCAGUUCUUGAGUGAAGUAGAGGCAGGCGGAAUUCCUAGUGUAGCGGUGAAAUGCGUAGAUAUUAGGAGGAACACCAGUGGCGAAGGCGGCCUGCUGGGCUUUUACUGACGCUGAGGCUCGAAAGUGUGGGGAGCAAACAGGAUUAGAUACCCGAGUAGUC